UGCAAGUCGAACGGAAAGGCCCAAGCUUGCUUGGGUACUCGAGUGGCGAACGGGUGAGUAACACGUGGGUGAUCUGCCCUGCACUUCGGGAUAAGCCUGGGAAACUGGGUCUAAUACCGGAUAGGACGAUGGUUUGGAUGCCAUUGUGGAAAGUUUUUCGGUGUGGGAUGAGCUCGCGGCCUAUCAGCUUGUUGGUGGGGUAAUGGCCUACCAAGGCGUCGACGGGUAGCCGGCCUGAGAGGGUGUACGGCCACAUUGGGACUGAGAUACGGCCCAGACUCCUACGGGAGGCAGCAGUGGGGAAUAUUGCACAAUGGGCGCAAGCCUGAUGCAGCGACGCCGCGUGGGGGAUGACGGCCUUCGGGUUGUAAACUCCUUUCGCUAGGGACGAAGAGCAAGUGACGGUACCUGGAGAAGAAGCACCGGCUAACUACGUGCCAGCAGCCGCGGUAAUACGUAGGGUGCGAGCGUUGUCCGGAAUUACUGGGCGUAAAGAGCUCGUAGGUGGUUUGUCGCGUCGUUUGUGUAAGCCCGCAGCUUAACUGCGGGACUGCAGGCGAUACGGGCAUAACUUGAGUGCUGUAGGGGAGACUGGAAUUCCUGGUGUAGCGGUGGAAUGCGCAGAUAUCAGGAGGAACACCGAUGGCGAAGGCAGGUCUCUGGGCAGUAACUGACGCUGAGGAGCGAAAGCAUGGGUAGCGAACAGGAUUAGAUACCCUGGUAGUCCAUGCCGUAAACGGUGGGCGCUAGGUGUGAGUCCCUUCCACGGGGUUCGUGCCGUAGCUAACGCAUUAAGCGCCCCGCCUGGGGAGUACGGCCGCAAGGCUAAAACUCAAAGGAAUUGACGGGG
This 850-nucleotide ribosomal RNA is filed under the name uncultured bacterium. Its description in RNAcentral is "bacterial SSU rRNA". It matches the Rfam family "Bacterial small subunit ribosomal RNA", at positions 56 to 918 of the family's 1533-position model. The record is from RNAcentral.